Molecule: long non-coding RNA, 203 nt
Filed under: Mytilus galloprovincialis (Mediterranean mussel)
Lineage: Eukaryota; Metazoa; Mollusca; Bivalvia; Mytilida; Mytilidae
Source: RNAcentral
CUCAAAUUAAAAAAAAAAUAUGCAUAUGUUUUUUAAAACUAAAUGGAUAGUUUUCAUUAUACAACUUAUGUACAUAUACUUUUUUCUGAGGAAAUUCUUUAAUUGUCCACAUUUAGAAGAAGUUUACUUAUUUUUAAUUGCUUGCUGCCAGGAAGCAAUUCGCCGACAUAUUUUCCGUAUGCAUAGUGACCUAAGCGUGACCC